UGCAUGUGGAACUUCCAGAUC
This 21-nucleotide microRNA is filed under the name Brachypodium distachyon (stiff brome). RNAcentral describes it as "bdi-miR7741-3p.2". The record is from miRBase by way of RNAcentral. Lineage: Eukaryota; Viridiplantae; Streptophyta; Magnoliopsida; Poales; Poaceae.